This 253-nucleotide ribosomal RNA is filed under the name uncultured bacterium. RNAcentral's name for it is "partial 16S ribosomal RNA". It matches the Rfam family "Bacterial small subunit ribosomal RNA", at positions 524 to 776 of the family's 1533-position model. The record is from RNAcentral.
UACGAAGGGGGCUAGCGUUACUCGGAUUGACUGGGCGUAAAGGGCGCGUAGGCGGCUUGGCAAGUGGAAGGUGAAAUCCCUCGGCUUAACCGAGGAACUGCCCUCCAAACUGCUUCGCUUGAGACCGGGAGAGGUGAGUGGAAUUCCCAGUGUAGCGGUGAAAUGCGUAGAUAUUGGGAGGAACACCAGUGGCGAAGGCGGCUCACUGGACCGGUACUGACGCUGAUGCGCGAAAGCGUGGGGAGCAAACGGG